AUUGAACGCUGGCGGAAUGCUUUACACAUGCAAGUCGAGCGGCAGCACGGGGGCAACCCUGGUGGCGAGCGGCGAACGGGUGAGUAAUACAUCGGAACAUGACCAGUCGUGGGGGAUAACACUUCGAAAGAAGUGCUAAUACCGCAUACGUCCUGAGGGGGAAAGCGGGGGAUCGCAAGACCUCGCGCGAUUGGAGUGGCCGAUGUCAGAUUAGCUAGUUGGUGGGGUAAAGGCCUACCAAGGCAACGAUCUGUAGCUGGUCUGAGAGGAUGAUCAGCCACACUGGGACUGAGACACGGCCCAGACUCCUACGGGAGGCAGCAGUGGGGAAUUUUGGACAAUGGGGGCAACCCUGAUCCAGCCAUUCCGCGUGAGUGAAGAAGGCCUUCGGGUUGUAAAGCUCUUUCGGCAGGAACGAAACGGUGAGCUCUAACAUAGCUUGCUAAUGACGGUACCUGAAGAAGAAGCACCGGCUAACUACGUG
This 484-nucleotide ribosomal RNA is filed under the name uncultured bacterium. RNAcentral's name for it is "partial 16S ribosomal RNA". It matches the Rfam family "Bacterial small subunit ribosomal RNA", at positions 30 to 507 of the family's 1533-position model. The record is from RNAcentral.